Molecule: ribosomal RNA, 430 nt
Filed under: Verrucomicrobiota bacterium
Lineage: Bacteria; Pseudomonadati; Verrucomicrobiota
Description: Verrucomicrobia bacterium partial 16S ribosomal RNA
Rfam family: Bacterial small subunit ribosomal RNA
Source: RNAcentral
UAGGGAAUCUUCGGCAAUGGGGGGAACCCUGACCGAGCAACGCCGCGUGAGUGAAGAAGGUUUUCGGUUCGUAAAGCUCUGUUGUUAAGGAAGAACGAGUGUGAGAAUGGAAAGUUCAUGCUGUGACGGUACUUAACCAGAAAGGGACGGCUAACUACGUGCUAGCAGCCGCGGUAAUACGUAGGUGGCAAGCGUUGUCCGGAAUUAUUGGGCGUAAAGCGCGCGCAGGUGGUUUAGAAAGUCUGAUGUGAAAGCCCACGGCUCAACCGUGGAGGGUCAUUGGAAACUGAUAAACUUGAGUGCAGGAGAGAAAAGUGGAAUUCCUAGUGUGGCGGUGAAAUGCGUAGAGAUUAGGAGGAGCACCGGUGGCGAAAGCGGCUUUUUGGCCUGCAACUGACACUGAGGCGCGAAAGCGUAGGGAGCAAACAGG